GAUGAACGCUAGCUACAGGCUUAACACAUGCAAGUCGCGGGGCAGCAUGGGGGUUGCUUGCAAUCCCCGAUGGCGACCGGCGCACGGGUGAGUAACGCGUAUCCAACCUGCCCUUCACCACGGGAUAACCCGGCGAAAGUCGGACUAAUACCGUAUGUUGUCCAUUGACGGCAUCCGAUUUGGACGAAAGGCUUGGCGGUGAGGGAUGGGGAUGCGUCCGAUUAGCCAGACGGCGGGGUAACGGCCCACCGUGGCUACGAUCGGUAGGGGUUCUGAGAGGAAGGUCCCCCACACUGGAACUGAGACACGGUCCAGACUCCUACGGGAGGCAGCAGUGAGGAAUAUUGGUCAACGGGCGUAAGCCUGAACCAGCCAAGUAGCGUGCAGGAUGACGGCCCUAUGGGUUGUAAACUGCUUUUAGGCGGGGUUAAAGUGGCCCACGUGUGGGCUUUUGCAGGUACCGCAUGAAUAAGGACCGGCUAAUUCCGUG
This 490-nucleotide ribosomal RNA is filed under the name uncultured bacterium. Its description in RNAcentral is "partial 16S ribosomal RNA". It matches the Rfam family "Bacterial small subunit ribosomal RNA", at positions 28 to 507 of the family's 1533-position model. The record is from RNAcentral.